This 3994-nucleotide long non-coding RNA is filed under the name Salmo salar (Atlantic salmon). RNAcentral's name for it is "lncRNA (ENSSSAG00000104384.1, ENSSSAG00000105546.1)". The record is from RNAcentral. Lineage: Eukaryota; Metazoa; Chordata; Actinopteri; Salmoniformes; Salmonidae.
CCGCUCUAUAUAACCAAGAGAACGGGUAGUAUCCGCUCUAUAUAACCAAGAGAAGGGGUAGUACCCGCUCUAUAUAACCAAGAGAACGGGUAGUACCCGCUCUAUAUAACCAAGAGAAGGGGUAGUACCCGCUCUAUAUAACCAAGAGAAGGGGUAGUACCCGCUCUAUAUAACCAAAAGAACUCCAAAGUUAUCAAUGAAUUGAAACUGACACUUUUAUCUACAGAAUGGUUCUGUUCUGCUGCUCUCUGGUGCCCACUGUUCCCACCCAGUAUCUGGCACGUCUCUCUCCUUUCCCAGCUGUAGAGUCCAGUUUUGGGCCAUUUUUCCCAUAACCCCCCUCUUCCCCAGGGAUGAGUCAUCAUCACUGUAAUAUGAGACGAAGCAGGCAGGAAAAGCUGCUCUGUAACACACACAGAUUACCAGGAUGGUGUGACGUCCGUGAGCAGUGUGUGCCUUAGAUACUUCUGGCUUCUGGAUGAGAGGGAGUCAAAACAUCCUGUAGUUAUCUCUCUCUAGUCUCUCUCUCUCUGGUCUCUCUCUGGUCUCUCUCUAGUCUCUCUCUCUCACUGGUCUCUCUGGUCUCUCUCUAGUCUCUCUCACUCUGGUCUCUCUCUCUCUGGUCUCUCUCUGGUCUCUCUCUAGUCUCUCUCUCUCUGGUCUCUCUCUCUCUCUCUCUGGUCUCUCUCUCUGGACUCUCUCUCUCUGGUUUCUCUCUCUCUCUGGUCUCUCUCUCUGGUCUCUCUCUGGUCUCUCUCUCUCUCUGGUCUCUCUCUCUGGUCUCUCUCUUGUCUCUCUCUCUGGUCUCUCUCUCUCUGGUCUCUCUCUCUCUCUCUGGUCUCUCUCUGGUCUCUCUCUCUCUCUCUGGUCUCUCUCUCUGGUCUCUCUCUCUUUGGUCUCUCUCUCUCUCUGGUCUCUCGCUCUCUCUCUGGUCUCUCGCUCUCUCUCUGGUCUCUCGCUCUCUCUCUGGUAUCUCGCUCUCUCUGGUCUCUCGGUCUCUCGCUCUCUCUCUCUGGUCUCUCUCUCUGGUCUCUCUCUCUUCUCUCACUCUCUCUGUCACCUCACCUCUCUCUCUCUCAUACCUCUUAUCUCUCUCUCCCCAGCCUGUAUGUCCUCUACUCCCAGUGGUCAUGUCAUUGUAUUCCAGAUGACAAUAUUAGCUUUCCCAUCCUUCACCGUCCAUAAAUAUACAUUAUCUUUGGCAACAUCCCAAAUGGCACCCUAUUCCCUCCAUAGUGCACUACCUUUGGGCCCUGGUCAAAAUGAGUUCACUAUAUAGAGAAUAGGAUGCCAUUUAGGAUACUGCCCUUAUCGCCACAAAACUGAUCGACACCAGGAAGUGAUGCAAUGGCUCCAGUGAGGCAUUUCCUGUGUCCUGCUGUCCAUACACACUGAUCUCUGAUAGUGUUCUAUGUAGGUCUUUCCAUCCUCAUCCAACUAUUCUUUUCUCUUGUUUAUCAGUGCAGCUCCUCUGCUCUUCUGUUUCCUGCUCGCUCUCUCGCUCUCUCUCUCUGGUCUCUUGCUCUCUGGUCUCUCUCUCUGGUCUCUCUCUCUCUGGUCUCUCGCUCUCUGGUCUCUCUCUCUCUGGUCUCUCGCUCUCUUUCUCUCUGGUCUCUUGCUCUCUUUCUCUCUGGUCUCUCGCUCUCUUUCUCUCUGGUCUCUCGCUCUCUUUCUCUCUGGUCUCUCUCUCUCUCGCUCUCUUUCUCUCUGGUCUCUUGCUCUCUCUCUCUCUGGUCUCUCGCUCUCUGGUCUCUCGCUUUCUGGUCUCUCGCUCUCUUUCUCUCUGGUCUCUCGCUCUCUUUCUCUCUGGUCUCUCGCUCUCUUUCUCUCUGGUCUCUCUCUCUCUCUGGUCUCUCGCUCUCUUUCUCUCUGGUCUCUCUCUCUCUCGCUCUCUUUCUCUCUGGUCUCUCGCUCUCUUUCUCUCUGGUCUCUUGCUCUCUCGCUCUCUGGUCUCUCGCUCUCUGGUCUCUCGCUCUCUGGUCUCUCUCUCUCUUUCUCUCUGGUCUCUCGCUCUCUUUCUCUCUGGUCUCUCGCUCUCUGGUCUCUCUCUCUCUCUCUUUCUCUCUGGUCUCUCGCUCUCUUUCUCUCUGGUCUCUCGCUCUCUGGUCUCUCGCUCUCUGGUCUCUCGCUCUCUUUCUCUCUGGUCUCUCUCUCUUUCUCUCUGGUCUCUCGCUCUCUUUCUCUCUGGUCUCUCGCUCUCUUUCUCUCUGGUCUCUUGCUCUCUCUCUCUCUGGUCUCUCGCUCUCUGGUCUCUCUCUCUCUGGUCUCUCGCUCUCUUUCUCUCUGGUCUCUUGCUCUCUCUCUCUCUGGUCUCUUGCUCUCUCUCUCUCUGGUCUCUCGCUCUCUGGUCUCUUUCUCUCUGGUCUCUCGCUCUCUGGUCUCUCUCUCUCUCUUUCUCUCUGGUCUCUCACUCUCUUUCUCUCUGGUCUCUCGCUCUCUUUCUCUCUGGUCUCUUGCUCUCUCUCUCUCUGGUCUCUCGCUCUCUGGUCUCUUUCUCUCUGGUCUCUCGCUCUCUUUCUCUCUGGUCUCUCGCUCUCUUUCUCUCUGGUCUCUUGCUCUCUGGUCUCUCGCUCUCUGGUCUCUCGCUCUCUUUCUCUCUGGUCUCUCCCUCUCUUUCUCUCUGGUCUCUCGCUCUCUUUCUCUCUGGUCUCUCGCUCUCUUUCUCUCUGGUCUCUCGCUCUCUCUCUCUCUGGUCUCUCGCUCUCUGGUCUCUUUCUCUCCCUCUCUUUCUCUCUGGUCUCUCGCUCUCUGGUCUCUCACUCUCUUUUUCUCUGGUCUCUCCCUCUCUCUCUCUCUGGUCUCUCACUCUCUUUUUCUCUGGUCUCUCCCUCUCUCUCUCUCUGGUCUCUCUCUGGUCUCUCUCUAGUCUCUCUCUCUCACUGGUCUCUCUGGUCUCUCUCUAGUCUCUCUCUCUCUGGUCUCUCGCUCUCUUUCUCUCUGGUCUCUCGCUCUCUUUCUCUCUGGUCUCUCGCUCUGGUCUCUUUCUCUCUGGUCUCUCGCUCUCUUUCUCUCUGGUCUCUCGCUCUCUUUCUCUCUGGUCUCUCGCUCUCUUUCUCUGGUCUCUCGCUCUCUGGUCUCUCUCUCUCUCUCUCUUUCUCUCUGGUCUCUCGCUCUCUUUCUCUCUGGUCUCUCGCUCUCUGGUCUCUCGCUCUCUGGUCUCUCGCUCUCUGGUCUCUCGCUCUCUGGUCUCUUUCUCUCUGGUCUCUCGCUCUCUUUCUCUCUGGUCUCUCUCUCUCUUUCUCUCUGGUCUCUCGCUCUCUUUCUCUCUGGUCUCUCGCUCUCUUUCUCUCUGGUCUCUUGCUCUCUCUCUCUCUGGUCUCUCGCUCUCUGGUCUCUCUCUCUCUGGUCUCUCGCUCUCUUUCUCUCUGGUCUCUUGCUCUCUCUCUCUCUGGUCUCUUGCUCUCUCUCUCUCUGGUCUCUCGCUCUCUGGUCUCUUUCUCUCUGGUCUCUCGCUCUCUGGUCUCUCUCUCUCUCUCUCUCUCUCUCUGGUCUCUCACUCUCUUUCUCUCUGGUCUCUCGCUCUCUUUCUCUCUGGUCUCUUGCUCUCUCUCUCUCUGGUCUCUCGCUCUCUGGUCUCUCGCUCUCUGGUCUCUCGCUCUCUGGUCUCUCACUCUCUUUCUCUCUGGUCUCUCGCUCUCUUUCUCUCUGGUCUCUUGCUCUCUCUCUCUCUUGGUCUCUCUUUCUCUCUGGUCUCUCGCUCUCUUUCUCUCUGGUCUCUCGCUCUCUUUCUCUCUGGUCUCUUGCUCUCUUUCUCUCUGGUCUCUUGCUCUCUGGUCUCUUUCUCUCUGGUCUCUUGCUCUCUUUCUCUCUGGUCUCUCGCUCUCUCUCUCUCUGGUCUCUCGCUCUCUGGUCUCUUUCUCUCCCUCUCUUUCUCUAUGGUCUCUCGCUCUCUGGUCUCUGGUCUCUCGCUCUCUGGUCUCUCUCUCUCUGGUCUCUCACUCUCUUUUUCUCUGGCCUCUCCCUCUCUUUCUCUCUGGUCUCUCGCUCUCUUUCU